UUAAGUAUUGUGCUUCUUGCUGUAAAUAUGGACAUACAUAAAUUAUUAUGUUGGCUUUAGGUGGGCGUUUCUUUAAGUAAAAGACGCCCACAAAGGACCAACAUACAUUA
This is a non-coding RNA of Helianthus annuus (common sunflower), 110 nucleotides long. NCBI's taxonomy places the organism in Eukaryota, Viridiplantae, Streptophyta, Magnoliopsida, Asterales, Asteraceae. The record is from Rfam.